Homo sapiens (human) is the source of this 1494-nucleotide long non-coding RNA. RefSeq annotates it as long independently transcribed non-coding RNA 1231. Lineage: Eukaryota; Metazoa; Chordata; Mammalia; Primates; Hominidae. The record is from RefSeq and is marked validated. The transcript has 5 exons.
CGAGACGCCCGGUGACUUCUGCUGGCACCUGCUGCCCUCGGCAUCACCUCCCUCAUCCCCCUGGAGGGCACGCUGGAAAGCUGCAACUCCCCACCCUCCGCACAGGAGCGCCCCGUAGACGCGCAGAUGGGCCCAGCCACCCAGCGGGGCGGCAGCCCUGAGCACACAAGUUUGGAGAGCGCGCGAGGCACCUGAAAGUGGUUGGGGUUUGGAAGCAAAAGGGUGACACCUGCUGUUCGCUGGGACCGCUCUGCGGGUGUGGGCGUCGGUUUGGAAACGUCCUUUGCCUGAGCUCUGCUUGAACCUGGGUGCCAGAGACUACCUGGGACAGCUCUACUGACAUCAUCAGCACGUGAUUCUAGCCUCAUUAACUCUAACUUGGGAAAAGUGCUUCUGGAGGAAAGGGAAGAGAUUCUAAGGCUGUGUGCCCCAUUCUUAUUACUCUAUCUCAGUGGGUCUCAAUCCCGGCUACACAUUGGAAUCACUUGGAAAGCUUUAAAAAUAAAACCAAACCUGUGCUUGGGCUCCACCAUAGGUGUUCACCACAGCUGUCAGUAUAAAUCAAUGCAUCUUGGUUCCAUUCUUCAUCAUUUGCUGGUAGCUAAAUUAUGGUAAAUUCAGCUAAGGACAUUUUAAAAUCCUGUUUAAUUUGUCCACAUGCUAAAUAUCCCAGCACACAAGAGAAAAAGCAGCAUGUACUUGGAUAAGACAAACCUAGGGCUUCCUUCGAGUUAAGGAACAGUCUUGGAAGUCUUGUUAUAGUUAAUGGUUUUUUGAGUGGAUGAGCAAAUGAAUGAAUAUACAAAUGGUUAUGCACACAAUUAAGCAAACUACUUGAUCACAUUCCUCCUUUUGGUUUUGCUUCCUCUACCUGUCAGUUGUCCUGAACACCUGCGGAGGUAUUUUGUGCAGGAUGGUUUACCACAUUGGCCUUGGGAGUUGAGGAAGCACCAGCUUAGGUUCUGCCACGUGCUCUUUCCUGACAGCGAGUGCUGCUGGCUGCUGACGCCUAGAAUCUCAGCACGGGAGCUGCCUUUGUCACAGACCUUGGUUCCCCAUUCAAUCGAGCACCUGUGCAGUUGCCCUGUGGUCUAGCAUCCCAGGCUCAGCAGUGACAGCUCCUGAUGGGCUUUCACCUGACUUUCUAAAUCAGUGCUGUUCUAAAUCUGUGCUAAAUCUGGUGACCAGCCAGAGCCUGGUCACCCCUGCAUGGAGUAGGAGUGAAGCUUAUGAAAAGGUGAGGUGCCAAACACACAGAGGAGAACACGGAGGAGGCCAUAUUGUAAUAAAGAGAAAGCAAGCAGUCAGAAGUCACCCCAUAAAACACCUUCCACCCUCUGAGCAUGACCAGCAAAGCGGUUUCUUCUUGCGGACACUGCAUCAGCCCAGCUCAAAGUGCAUUCCAUUCUGAUGAACAUCCACAAACAGUUAUGAAGAAGACCCAAAUGUCAUGAUUUUGUUCCUCUCAGAUAAUAAAAAUAUCAUGAUUCUGAA